RNAcentral lists this long non-coding RNA (4463 nucleotides) under Canis lupus familiaris (dog). Its description in RNAcentral is "lncRNA (ENSCAFG00000058785.1)". Lineage: Eukaryota; Metazoa; Chordata; Mammalia; Carnivora; Canidae. The record is from RNAcentral.
UGUAAAUCCAAACUUCUGUAUGAGAAUGUGCAGGCCUUUGUUUCUUCUGCUGACCCUGGUCAGGUUCCUGAAGCUAGUAAGAGGUUGGUUUAUUAAUCUGUGCCUAACAGCACCUAGCACAUACUCAGUGUUUAGUAACUGUUUGUGGACAAAAUGAAUGAGUAGAUGAAUGAGGGUUUAUCUGUAUUGUUUCACUAAUUUCACUAGAUGUUGCUGACUCGGGGCCCCUCAUUGACGGAGAAAUAUUGGAGGCUUACUCUCCAGGGGCUUUGGGGUUGGCCAGAUAUUGCAGGUUUUCAUGACCAGAGGGGUGGACUCAUCAGAUGGGAGAGGGCACUAGGGUGCAGAAUGCAUUCGUGUCUGGGGACCACUCGGAGAGGCUGCAAUCCGCAAGUAAUGAAAAGCAGCAUUUGCAUCCCGCGACAGCAGGUGCUUGGGUCACCGGGUUCUAGUGGGGCAGGUGAGUGGGGAGGCCGGUCGCCAGGCCUGGCUGCACACAGAUCAAGGGGAGACCUCUUUCCCCACUUCCUCUCACUAGGGGUCCCCGGCCAGAAGGUCCCCCUCCUAGAGAGCAGAUGAACCCCGGCUACCACUCCCCCACCCCCCAAGCAGGUACCCCAUUCAUCCAUCACAGCACCAGAGGACGGUGGAUGUCCUCUGUCCACAGGCCGGGGAAGGAUGGCUAGCCGGAAGCUGAAGCUUAUUUUCAAAUCCAGGGCAAGCCAGCCUAUGUGUGGGGCCCAGUUUUUCCCGGAUCUGGAGUUGAUCUCAGCCGCGGGGGCCCGGAGGGAGGACUCUGCCCUGUGUGUGGCCAGGGGGCUGGGCCCUUGGGACACUUUGGGGCAGGGACUCCCCACCACAGGCCCUCCAGCCAGGCUCCCACGCUGCCUCCAUUUCGGCCUCACCGUCCCUGUCCCCGUCCUCGUCCUCGUGCAGCUCUAGCACGCCCCCAGUGUCAGACAGCUCAGGGGCUGGCCUCUAGUGCAAACCACAGCCAGACAGCACAGGCUGAGGCCACACCUACACACGGCAGGACCCUGGGUCGGGGAUGUGGCAGGUCAAGGCAUACCCGCCCCUCUGCCCAGGAGUGGGGGGACGGUUCAUGGAGCAGACAUUCUUCAGGUGCUGCUCACCCAGCUCCAAAAGGACAGGAACACCAGCCUGGUCACCAUGCUGCCCCCCUGUGCCCGGCAUCCAGGAGGCUCUCCAUAAAGAAGGCUUUUUGAGCAUCAGCGCCUGAGAAGAUCCCUAAGGGAAAUCUAGACCAGUGUUUUCCCAACUGAAAGAUGGGCGGGGGUGGGGGGGGGGCGGGGAGGGGGGAAGGGGAGGCGGGGGGGCGGGGAGAAGCAACCUUCUGAAUCACCUCAUUGGAGGCUGACAAUACAUAUUUACAUAUUCAUGCCUCUGAGUCCGUCUUGACCUAAAGAAAUCUGUUUUCCUUGUGUUUCCCAACAUAUUUGCCUGCCGGACAGUUUCUCAUGAAUUGCUAAUUCACACAGCAACCGAGGAAUCUUGUUGGAAACGCCGAUUGGGUGUAACCUCAUGCUACAGAAGAUGAAACAGGGCCCAGAGAAAGCAAGCAACUUGCCAGAGGUCACACAGCACACUGGUGGAGUCCCGACCUGCACUGAAAGUCCCCGGCUCUGCCCAGUGCUCCUCCCACUGGGGGCCAGCCUUUGCUGACAGUGCCAUUAGGCACCUGUACUCUCCUGAUUCUUCAGCCAGGCAGGGCAUAAAUGUUUUUUUGCAUGACCUAGAGAGCAAAGGCUAGUUUAGCAAAACAAAACAAACAAACAAACAAACAAACAAACAAACAAAAAACCCCCCAGAUAAUUCCAAGUGAAUCCCAAUUGCAGGAGCAAUGCUUCCCUUCUUGAGACUUUCUGGAACCACUUCAGCUUCAAAUGCGUGUGAUAAUUACCUAAGGUUCUUAUCUUCUCCUUAGAGCUAGUCCCUUCUGCUCUGGGCUUGGCAAUCCUGGAGGCCAUUUCCGGAGACUACGCGUCGUCUCGAUACCUCCGAAGGUCUUUCAAAAAUGCGUCUUAUCCAGAUGUCCCCCAGGGCUCUUGGGCUAUUUGAUAUCAAUGAAGAUUUUUGUUCCUCUGCCCCCCUUGGGUGCUAGGCAGGGGAGCUGGGGGUGCAGAGGUCAGCGAUUUGCUUGGGCAGUCAGAACUGCCCUGAUUUCCAGCAGCUGCGGCUGGAGCAGGAUCCGGGGGGAUUCCCUGGAGAAGGGGGUUUGUACACCCACCACCUCACUGGGUUCUCCGUUACUCCUUCCAGUUCCACGCUGGGUCACCUUGACCCUGCUCGUUGCCCACAGUGAGGGUGGAGGCCUAGAAUCGGGUGACUUGAGAGGCUGGAUGGCCCAGUCCGACCACAUCAUGUAAGAGGACAGAGGCCCAGAAAGCACAAGCAGUUGGUUCAAGGUCACAUAGUGAGUGCGAGUCCAUGGUCACUAAGAGGUUAACAUCUCAGAGGCAGAGAAUCUGGGAAUAUUUGAGCCUAGAAGCCUCCCAGCUCCAGUGCACCCAGCACCCAGCAAGGGGAAGCCGCUUGCCCAAACCAGUGCCCGGUGUUCCCACUCUCGGCCCAACAGCUACUUCCAUUAAUGGUGGGCCAAGGAGGGGAUGUCACACCCGCCCCUCUCCCUACCCUGACGCUUGGGCUACUGGCUACACAGCUGCAGAAGUGUUACUUUUGCACGGGAAGGUGUGUCGGGAGAUGCCAAGGCUGUCCUCACACCUGCUUGAGGCCUUGAGCAAGACAGCCUACAACCCUUAUCCCUCCCAGUGAUGCUGAUUUUAUGCCAACAGCCCAGACUGUCAUCCUGCCCUGCCUGGGGUCGUGGUGGCCAGGGUGCUGGUGACUGCCCCACUGGGUUCCUCCCCAGAGGGUGAUUCUAAAGCAGAACAGUCAGCCAAGCAGCAGACAGGACUUUAUAUGAAGUCUCCGGCCCCUUCCCGUCCCUUGGGGAUGGAUCACCGGGUUCCCGGAGCCUCAGAGCAGGACCCGUGUGGAGAGAGCCCCUCCUGGGAGAUUUUGCGGGGUAGCAGGAGGGCAGGGCAGGGCUCCGCAUCCAGGGUGCAGGCUGUGCGGGGGGCAGGGCAUCACAUGCUGUCGGGCCUGCCUCUUCUCUACGUGGAGGGCGUCCUGCUGGAGCCGCUCUCCCCCUCAGUCCCUGCUGGCUGAAGACCGGGCAUUUCUUGAGUCUUCGUGAGGCUGGGACGCGUGCCAGAGCCCACAGCCCUUCCACAGGUCAGUUUGCACCGCGGGGACCUCCAGAUCUCCCUGCAGGGGGGCGACAUCUGUGGGGGCUUUGUGCCAGGGCCCUGGGGCCCAAGGGACCACUUGGUGAAGAGACGUUAAGGCCUUGGAGAGCGGGGGUGUGCGGGUUCAGACUGAGGUCCCAAGCCGCUGGAUUUCCAGAGGAGUCUUCAGGGCAGAGACGGCUGGGUGCCAGCCCCCAGGGAAGCUGAGGCUGUGCCUGUCACCAGGGGGUGUUACAGGAGGGCCUGAGAGAGGGAAGCCCCCAGGGGCUCUCUGCUGUACAAUUCAAGGGUCCUUCAUCUCUGAAUAAAUUGCCCUCCCAGCUGAAGCGGCUGCCCCCAGAUGUGCUGCAGCCGGGUGCUGGUUCUGUUGCAAAGAGGCCCCCCAGGACCCCAGAAUGCAGCCGAGGCAGGGGCCGCUUGAGCCCCUCAGAGUAAGCAGCGUUCGCCUUGCACAAUUCCUGAAAGUGGGCAAAUUAUUUCAGGUGUUGCCUGGUUUCUCCAGCGGCUUUGCGACCAUGUCUCUUCUUUUUGGACUAUUUUUGCCCAGACUGAAGCUUAGUUUUAACAUCUCAGCUUGCAGGGUGUCUCCCCGACCCCCCCGGUCCUCCCCGCCUCCUCUUCUUAAACAGAGUCUGCGAACUAAAAUAUACUAAGGGCUUCCAAAGGCCCCCGAGUGACUCUGUAACAUGUUGGGAAGGGUGGCUCUCCAGUUGGUUUGUAAGUGGGGUUUCGGGGGGCCGGACCAUCAGGGUGGAGACGAGGCAGCAGGUGGAGGUGGUCUCCUGCGCCCAGACGCAAGCUCGCAGGUCUGGUUACUAGCAGUCUUGGGGUUUGCUCAUCCACCCUUUUAUUUGAGGGGGGCUUUACCCACGGGACCCUCCUCCAGAGAGAACUUGGGUCCAAACUGUAUGUUCUCUCUCCCCGCCCCUCGGCCGCCUGGACGUCCUGCUGAGAGGAACCUUUGGAGCUUCUAGAGAUCUAGUCCAACUCCUUCACCUCACGCACUAAUUUUACAGGUGGGGAGACUGAGGGCCAGACGGGGGGGUAAGGGCUGGCCUAAAAUUGCACAGCUAGGUGGUAGCAAAGUUGGGAUUGAACUCAGGCCUCCUGACUGCCAGUCCAGGGCUCUUUCUAGCAACCAGUAUAUUGGCUACUGCUUCCAAAGCUCCCCCCGCCAGGCUGCAAUGUCCCCUC